RNAcentral lists this unclassified non-coding RNA (2054 nucleotides) under Hevea brasiliensis (rubber tree). Lineage: Eukaryota; Viridiplantae; Streptophyta; Magnoliopsida; Malpighiales; Euphorbiaceae. The record is from RNAcentral.
GAGAGAUCACCUAGGGAACCAUUUGCACAGUAUGCAUUAAAAAUUGUUUGGUGCUUAAAAGACAGUUUAUAGAAUUCUAUAAGAUGACAUUGUGGGGUGAAUUUGCAUCUGUGGCCUAAAUUUUGGUUCACUUUCAAAAGUUUAAUCCGUUACAAUCAAGUCAGUGUUUUUAAAUGAGAUGAUACAAUGCUUGUUGGCAAUUGUGUGGGCUACAUGUGGAAUAUUACGAUCGAAAACUCACCCAAGAUGAAGAAGAACUUUCAAAACAUAGAUUAACAUCAGAUAAAUGUGGAAUUGAGUAAACUCUUGCUUUUAGAGGCUUACCUUGGUUAGAGUUUGCACAAAGAACAAAAAUUAAUGGAUUUCUGAGAUGAAUUGGAGCAGUUGGUGAUCACUCCGAUCACUCACCAAGACAGGAACAAUGACAUUGACGAGAUUUUGAGCCUGUUUGGCUCUAGAGCACAAUUAGCAGAAUUCUCUCCUUAUUUAACGUUCAGGGCCACUUCAGGCCCUUGAAUCAUUGACUGGGGCCUGUUCCAAGUUUGACUUGGACCAGCCUCAGUCCAAUUCAUGGGCUUCCCCGGUCCCUGGCUUUGGCUGGGUCUAGGCUGGGGAAUUCGCAUACUGGGUUUCGUGCUCCCUAAACAGGCCCGUGUUCCAGCCAACCUCGUUCCUUGUUUUGAAAUAAAGCAUCCUAGCAAUAUAGGACUGAAAAAAGGUUUGUACGGUCUAAAGUCAACCUAGAGUUCGUUCCAACCACUCUGAAACCAUAUCAGUUACUUGAAACAAUUUAAUUAUGCCCCCAACAAACAAUCCUUUGGCUAUCAUCAUUGGGAAAUUGUGUUACCAAAAUUCAGCGUCUACAAGUUGGAGAUCCUUUGUCAUCAUUGGUAGAAAAGAGAAAGACCAAAUCCCAAAUAAAACAUGGGGUAAUAGGUAGGGUGAUUGGACACCAAAUGCACUUGAGAAGUAUCGAAUGCUCUUUACUUGAAUGCUCUAGCGAAUAAUAUGAGAAACCUAAAAAAUUGGAGCAUAUUCAAUUAAAAUGUUUCAUUCCAACUGAUCUUCCGGAAAAUCCAGUUUCAUCUGUCCUCUCAAAUACCUCUGUCCAUAUUAUCUUUUUUUUUUUUCACCCUUGUCCUGAAUGGUAUGGUGUUGAAAAUUUGCAGCAAAUAUAUGAAAAGCUUGUAGAUGCAAAGAGCAAAUCUGAAGAGUUAGUUGGUCUUUUCCGUGUUAUUCUUGAGGGUAAUUUCAGUUUCCUAGGGAAUUUUUUUUUUCCCUCUAUUUCAUAAACAAAGAGAACAAUUUUGCAGAUUUAGGCAUAAAGGGUAAAAGACUUCCACUGACUGGAGUUGGGGAGGCGAGAAGAUUGAAAAGAUGAGUAUAUUUAAAAAACUUCUUACGAAUAUAGUCAACCUGGGUUCCAUUUAUUUAAAGGUAAAAAUAUCUUCCAACUGUUUUCUAGUUCUAACAUAACCUGUGGAAAUUAACUUUUCCUAAAUCUUGUAACAAACAAAGGUACAUGAAAUAAUAAAACAACAAAAUGUUAUAAAAUUACAAGAAACAAACAAUGUGGCAUCAUUAUGGGACACAGAGCAUAAAUAAUUCCCAAAAACAUGCUGCAUUGCCUUUUGUCCAUUUUGUAACCUGGCUUAAGGAUUCCUAUUUCUGGUGCUUUAAUUGCAGAAAAACAAAGAAUGGUGAUUUGAUAGGAUAGAAUUGAAUUUUCAACAUUGAACUGAGACACAAUGAUAAUUUCAUGAUACUGGAAUAGGUAUAUUUUCAUAUUACAUAUUCCAUGUAUUUUCAUAAUCACUUUCCCACACAAUGGGCUAGGUUUAAGAAAACAAUUGAUUGCAAGUUUAUAAUCUCUAGGCUUUUAUGUCCUUCGAUCGACUUGAAUGGUGACUCACUAGUAGAAAUCAAUGUCUUUGCAGAUUCUUCCACCGCCAAUCACAAGAGCAGAUUUUGAUAAAGUGCUGGCAAGGCAGAAGCCAACAGUGAGUAAAGCUGAUCUUGAGGUGCAUGAAAGAUUCACAAAGGAGUUUGGAGAG